This 455-nucleotide ribosomal RNA is filed under the name uncultured bacterium. Its description in RNAcentral is "bacterial SSU rRNA". It matches the Rfam family "Bacterial small subunit ribosomal RNA", at positions 100 to 565 of the family's 1533-position model. The record is from RNAcentral.
GGACGGGUGAGUAACGCGUGGGUAACCUACCCCAAAGUCCGGGAUAACAGCGGGAAACCGCUGCUAAUACCGGAUGUCUUUACCUUGGGGCAUCUUGAGGUAAAGAAAGGUAACGCUUUGGGAUGGGCCCGCGUCCCAUUAGCUAGUUGGUGAGGUAACGGCUCACCAAGGCGACGAUGGGUAGCCGGCCUGAGAGGGUGGACGGCCACACUGGGACUGAGACACGGCCCAGACUCCUACGGGAGGCAGCAGUAGGGAAUAUUGCGCAAUGGACGGAAGUCUGACGCAGCGACGCCGCGUGAGUGAUGAAGGUCUUCGGAUCGUAAAGCUCUGUCCUUGGGGAAGAAGGUCUUCGGACUUGACGGUACCCAAGAAGAAAGCCCCGGCUAACUACGUGCCAGCAGCCGCGGUAAUACGUAGGGGGCGAGCGUUGUCCGGAAUUACUGGGCGUAAAG